AAAUUGAAGAGUUUGAUCAUGGCUCAGAUUGAACGCUGGCGGCAGGCCUAACACAUGCAAGUCGAACGGUAACAGGAAGCAGCUUGCUGCUUUGCUGACGAGUGGCGGACGGGUGAGUAAUGUCUGGGAAACUGCCUGAUGGAGGGGGAUAACUACUGGAAACGGUGGCUAAUACCGCAUAACGUCGCAAGACCAAAGAGGGGGACCUUCGGGCCUCUUGCCAUCAGAUGUGCCCAGAUGGGAUUAGCUUGUUGGUGAGGUAACGGCUCACCAAGGCGACGAUCCCUAGCUGGUCUGAGAGGAUGACCAGCCACACUGGAACUGAGACACGGUCCAGACUCCUACGGGAGGCAGCAGUGGGGAAUAUUGCACAAUGGGCGCAAGCCUGAUGCAGCCAUGCCGCGUGUAUGAAGAAGGCCUUCGGGUUGUAAAGUACUUUCAGCGGGGAGGAAGGUGUUGUGGUUAAUAACCACAGCAAUUGACGUUACCCGC
RNAcentral lists this ribosomal RNA (492 nucleotides) under Salmonella enterica. Its description in RNAcentral is "bacterial SSU rRNA". It matches the Rfam family "Bacterial small subunit ribosomal RNA", at positions 1 to 482 of the family's 1533-position model. Lineage: Bacteria; Pseudomonadati; Pseudomonadota; Gammaproteobacteria; Enterobacterales; Enterobacteriaceae. RNAcentral also lists the same sequence under 1 other name. The record is from RNAcentral.